CCACCUAUUGCAAUAGUGAUAUCGGCCUUCUAAUCCGCAGGUCGUUGGUUCGAGUCCAACCGGGUGUGCCA
RNAcentral lists this transfer RNA (71 nucleotides) under Planctomycetota bacterium. RNAcentral describes it as "Planctomycetes bacterium tRNA-Arg". The record is from RNAcentral. Lineage: Bacteria; Pseudomonadati; Planctomycetota.